This 306-nucleotide long non-coding RNA is filed under the name Notechis scutatus (mainland tiger snake). Its description in RNAcentral is "lncRNA (ENSNSUG00000019633.1)". Lineage: Eukaryota; Metazoa; Chordata; Lepidosauria; Squamata; Elapidae. The record is from RNAcentral.
CCUAAACAGUGUCCUGACUGCUUGACUGUUUUAUGUGUAAGCAAUUCGUCUGGGAGCCUUUCCGUUGUGAGAACGAAGGCUGAUUCAACGUGCAGGAGAGGGCUGGAUAACAGGAUCCUUCCCUACUAGCUGGGAUGGCCCUUGACACAGUUUUUAGGAAAGAGAGGUUAGCAAGACACACUUCUCAGCUGUUUUUGGAGUCCUAACCCUUGACACUAUUCCUACUGUUGCUGCUCUUCUAGCAUGUUGCAUGUAAGUAUAUAUGUACCAGGUCUAUCAAGGCUGGUUUGUCUUUGUGGGGGUCUA